GGUAGGUGGCAAGCGUUGUCCGGAAUUAUUGGGCGUAAAGCGCGCGCAGGCGGUCCUUUAAGUCUGAUGUGAAAGCCCACGGCUCAACCGUGGAGGGUCAUUGGAAACUGGGGGACUUGAGUACAGAAGAGGAAAGCGGAAUUCCAAGUGUAGCGGUGAAAUGCGUAGAGAUUUGAAGGAACACCAGUGGCGAAGGCGGCUUUCUGGUCUGUAACUGACGCUGAGGCGCGAAAGCGUGGGGAGCAAACAGGAUUAGAUACCCUGGUAGUCCACGCCGUAAACGAUGAGUGCUAAGUGUUAGGGGGUUUCCCGCCCCCCUUAGUGCUGCAGCUAACGCAUUAAGCACUCCGCCUGGGGGAGUACGGCCGCAAGGCUG
This 376-nucleotide ribosomal RNA is filed under the name uncultured organism. Its description in RNAcentral is "partial 16S ribosomal RNA". It matches the Rfam family "Bacterial small subunit ribosomal RNA", at positions 526 to 896 of the family's 1533-position model. The record is from RNAcentral.